UUACGGCCAGAUUACGUAGAAAAACUGGUUCCUGUACGAUCACCGAGGUUAAGCAACCUUGAGAUUAGUCAGUACCUAGAUGGGUGACCGCUUGAGAAUACCAGGUGAUGUAAG
This is a non-coding RNA of Acanthosepion pharaonis, 114 nucleotides long. The record is from the annotation of a GenBank genome assembly. NCBI's taxonomy places the organism in Eukaryota, Metazoa, Mollusca, Cephalopoda, Sepiida, Sepiidae.